This 2504-nucleotide long non-coding RNA is filed under the name Homo sapiens (human). RNAcentral describes it as "HSALNT0103211". Lineage: Eukaryota; Metazoa; Chordata; Mammalia; Primates; Hominidae. The record is from RNAcentral.
AUGAGAGGGACUGGAUGUUUGGAGGGGGACACGGGGCUGGACAUCUGGAUCCCCAAACCCGGACUCACCUCUCGGACAGGGCUGAUUCCGAUCGGACACUUCCGGUGGAAGGACUGAGCGGCGCUACACUUCAAGAAUUCCGUCCACAGGGACUUGUGAGUCUGCGCAGAAGGCGGGAUGCCUUUGGACUACAAUUCCAAGAAUCCUUCCUGGGUCUCUUCGGGCGCAGACUUUUCGCCAAAGUCCUGAAGAUCUCAGGGCUUGAAGGAGGGGGCAUCUUUUUUCUCCAUUGUAGUAGUGUGUCUUGCUAAAUAACAGAAGGGACUCCUGAAAAGAAAAUGACGUUGGCCGGGCGCGGUGGCUCACGCCUGCAGUCCCAGCACUUUGGGAGGCCGAGACGGGCGGAUCACGAGGUCAGGAGAUCGAGACUAUCCUGGUUUACGCGGUGACACCCUGUGUCUACUAAAAAUACAAAAAAAAAAAAAAAAAAAAAAAUUGCCGGGCGUGGUGGCACGCGCCUGUAGUUCCAGGUGCUCGGGAGGCUGAGGCAGGAGAAUCGCUUGAACCCGGGAGGCGGAGCUUGCAGUGAGCCGAGACCGCGCCACUGCACUCCAGCUUGGGUGACAGAGUGAGACUCAGUCUCAGAAAAAGAAGAAGAAGAAAAAGAUACACACUCGAGCACACAUUUUCUCAGCAAAGCAAUUUACUUCUAUAGAAGGGUGCGUCUCACGGAUGGAGCAAUGGCGAGAGCACACCUGAACAAGGGAGGGGAAGGGGUUCUUAUCCCUGACGCAGGUAGUCCCUAGUGCUGUGUCGUUCCCCUACUGGCUAGGGUUGGACCGCACAGUCUAAGUUAAUUCCGAUUGGCUAUUUUAAAGAGAGCAGGGGUAUGAGCCGGAGUGGUAGGGUGAGCAGUUUCAGUGGGAAGGACGGUUACGGAACAGGUGACUAAAGGUGACUCAGGUGGUGAAAUUGAAGCCCACGCAGCAGGGUUGCAACUGAAACUUCAUCUCCUCUGCAAAACCUUCCUGCAUUCCCAGACAACUUUUCUUCUGAGGCCUUGUUUGAUUCAUCCCCUUACCCCAGUGGAACUCAGAUAUUCAAAAUGGUAUUAAUUAAAACCACUGGCUGUCAUUGGUCCAUGCAUGGCCUUAAAGUGUGAACAUUUUUUAAUCCAUUACCUAGUCUAUAAGAACUGUAGAUUGACAACAACUUAGAUUUAAUACUACUCUUUUUCUAGUCCCUCUCUAUACUACCUCUCAUCCGAGGAAACACUAUCACAAAUUUUGUAUUUGUUGUUCCCUUGCUUUUUAACAAGAUGAUUCUAUUAGAUAUGUACUGUUUUGUCCCCCAAAAGUGGUGGCAGGGGAGUUCACACAAGGGAGUGCCCAAAACCGUCCUAGUUGGGGCUGGUUGGGAUUCCAAAGAAAGGAGCACUAUGUGCCAAGGUGAUCUGUCCAAAGCAUUUAUUAAGGGAACUUACAUAGUGUUGCAGGAAUCCUCCCCAUGGGUGGUGAGAGAAAAGGGACAUUCUACCUAGAUAUGUCUGCAGUGAGGGGGUCAGGGUAUGGAGUUUAUAUAAGGGUUUAAAGAAUUUGGCUCAGGGCCAGAGCUAGUUUCUUUCACUGUUUUCAGUGACAACUUAGAUACCUUUAUCAGUGCCUGGGAAUGUUCAAGACCCAAGUUUGGGUUCAAGCAUGCUGGGAAAAAAUCUGCAGCUGGCUAGGUCACAGAGAGGUCAAGGCACUCUGAUUUUCAGUCACAGAAUAGUCAAGGCUCUGUGAUUUCCAGUCAGAGAUCCUGCAAUCCAUUUUCCUGACUGGCUCUUACAAUCUCACAUGCCCAUCUCUUCCUAUAUGUUCCCUGAGCUGGUCAGAAAGGGUGGGAUCAUCGGCAAUUUCUUUCCCCUGGCUUUAUGAAACACUGCAAACAAAACCUACACUAACAGUAAAUACAAGUGCACCUGACAAAAUCUAAAAUCACAUUUUCCAAAAGGCUUCCUAGCAGAGCUUUCCACCAAGGACCCCAUCCUGGAAAACAUGACUUUGUGUAGACCACCAGGCAUACCCUAUGUGGUCAGUAAGCUGUAAUUGCUUUCGUGAGUGAAGGACGGAUUGAUUAACUUCAGCUUCUUUGUCUAGAAUAUACACACAAUGUUCACUUUUGUAAAGGGCACAGGUUCCCCCUUGCACAGAUGUCAGCAUCUCUAGGGCCAUUUGGUUUUGUAGACCACUUUUUUCACUGCAGCUGUUUCAAUGUUCAAGGCCUCCAUACCAUGUUUGGUGUUGUUCAAAGCUGUGGAGACAAAUCUCUGAAGGGCUUCCAGCUUCUACACAGUAUCAGAAGAACCUCCUGGAGGCACAAAUAUAGUCAAUAAGUAAUCCCACCAAGAAAAAACAGGUCUACUCCACUGACCUCUCCAGAUGGACUCAUUGAGGGAUACAGGAAUGGUGCCAGAGAUUCUGGAGUCAUCCAAGCCACCCCAGGGGAAGCCAGGGCUGGAG